This 815-nucleotide ribosomal RNA is filed under the name uncultured Staphylococcus sp. Its description in RNAcentral is "bacterial SSU rRNA". It matches the Rfam family "Bacterial small subunit ribosomal RNA", at positions 77 to 876 of the family's 1533-position model. The record is from RNAcentral. Lineage: Bacteria; Bacillati; Bacillota; Bacilli; Caryophanales; Staphylococcaceae.
AGCUUGCUUCUCUGAUGUUAGCGGCGGACGGGUGAGUAACACGUGGAUAACCUACCUAUAAGACUGGGAUAACUUCGGGAAACCGGAGCUAAUACCGGAUAAUAUUUUGAACCGCAUGGUUCAAAAGUGAAAGACGGUCUUGCUGUCACUUAUAGAUGGAUCCGCGCUGCAUUAGCUAGUUGGUAAGGUAACGGCUUACCAAGGCAACGAUGCAUAGCCGACCUGAGAGGGUGAUCGGCCACACUGGAACUGAGACACGGUCCAGACUCCUACGGGAGGCAGCAGUAGGGAAUCUUCCGCAAUGGGCGAAAGCCUGACGGAGCAACGCCGCGUGAGUGAUGAAGGUCUUCGGAUCGUAAAACUCUGUUAUUAGGGAAGAACAUAUGUGUAAGUAACUGUGCACAUCUUGACGGUACCUAAUCAGAAAGCCACGGCUAACUACGUGCCAGCAGCCGCGGUAAUACGUAGGUGGCAAGCGUUAUCCGGAAUUAUUGGGCGUAAAGCGCGCGUAGGCGGUUUUUUAAGUCUGAUGUGAAAGCCCACGGCUCAACCGUGGAGGGUCAUUGGAAACUGGAAAACUUGAGUGCAGAAGAGGAAAGUGGAAUUCCAUGUGUAGCGGUGAAAUGCGCAGAGAUAUGGAGGAACACCAGUGGCGAAGGCGACUUUCUGGUCUGUAACUGACGCUGAUGUGCGAAAGCGUGGGGAUCAAACAGGAUUAGAUACCCUGGUAGUCCACGCCGUAAACGAUGAGUGCUAAGUGUUAGGGGGUUUCCGCCCCUUAGUGCUGCAGCUUACGCAUUAAGCACUCCGCCUGG